This 498-nucleotide ribosomal RNA is filed under the name uncultured bacterium. RNAcentral describes it as "partial 16S ribosomal RNA". It matches the Rfam family "Bacterial small subunit ribosomal RNA", at positions 28 to 508 of the family's 1533-position model. The record is from RNAcentral.
GAUGAACGCUGGCGGCGUGCCUAAUACAUGCAAGUCGAGCGAACGGACGAGAAGCUUGCUUUUCUGAUGUUAGCGGCGGACGGGUGAGUAACACGUGGAUAACCUACCUAUAAGACUGGGAUAACUUCGGGAAACCGGAGCUAAUACCGGAUAAUAUUUUGAACCGCAUGGUUCAAAAGUGAAAGACGGUCUUGCUGUCACUUAUAGAUGGAUCCGCGCUGCAUUAGCUAGUUGGUAAGGUAACGGCUUACCAAGGCAACGAUGCAUAGCCGACCUGAGAGGGUGGUCGGCCGCACUGGAACGGAGACACGGUCCAGAGUCCUACGGGAGGCAGCAGUAGGGAAUCUUCCGCAAUGGGCGGAAGCCUGUCGGAGCAACGCCGCGUGAGUGAUGAAGGUCUCCGGAUCGUGAAACUCUGUUAUUGGGGAAGAACAUAUGUGUAAGUAGCUGUGCACAUCUUGACGGUACCUGAUCAGAAAGCCACGGCUAACUACGUGC